This 720-nucleotide ribosomal RNA is filed under the name Bacillus sp. enrichment culture clone DWSRK94. RNAcentral describes it as "bacterial SSU rRNA". It matches the Rfam family "Bacterial small subunit ribosomal RNA", at positions 92 to 797 of the family's 1533-position model. Lineage: Bacteria; Bacillati; Bacillota; Bacilli; Caryophanales; Bacillaceae. The record is from RNAcentral.
UUAGCGGCGGACGGGUGAGUAACACGUGGGUAACCUGCCUGUAAGACUGGGAUAACUCCGGGAAACCGGGGCUAAUACCGGAUGGUUGUUUGAACCGCAUGGUUCAAACAUAAAAGGUGGCUUCGGCUACCACUUACAGAUGGACCCGCGGCGCAUUAGCUAGUUGGUGAGGUAACGGCUCACCAAGGCAACGAUGCGUAGCCGACCUGAGAGGGUGAUCGGCCACACUGGGACUGAGACACGGCCCAGACUCCUACGGGAGGCAGCAGUAGGGAAUCUUCCGCAAUGGACGAAAGUCUGACGGAGCAACGCCGCGUGAGUGAUGAAGGUUUUCGGAUCGUAAAGCUCUGUUGUUAGGGAAGAACAAGUACCGUUCGAAUAGGGCGGUACCUUGACGGUACCUAACCAGAAAGCCACGGCUAACUACGUGCCAGCAGCCGCGGUAAUACGUAGGUGGCAAGCGUUGUCCGGAAUUAUUGGGCGUAAAGGGCUCGCAGGCGGUUUCUUAAGUCUGAUGUGAAAGCCCCCGGCUCAACCGGGGAGGGUCAUUGGAAACUGGGGAACUUGAGUGCAGAAGAGGAGAGUGGAAUUCCACGUGUAGCGGUGAAAUGCGUAGAGAUGUGGAGGAACACCAGUGGCGAAGGCGACUCUCUGGUCUGUAACUGACGCUGAGGAGCGAAAGCGUGGGGAGCGAACAGGAUUAGAUACCCUGGUAGUCCA